This 363-nucleotide transfer-messenger RNA is filed under the name Treponema sp. It matches the Rfam family "transfer-messenger RNA". Rfam says of the family: Bacterial tmRNA, also known as 10Sa RNA or SsrA, is named for its dual tRNA and mRNA-like properties. Its role is to liberate the mRNA from a stalled ribosome. To accomplish this part of the tmRNA is used as a reading frame that ends in a translation stop signal. Lineage: Bacteria; Pseudomonadati; Spirochaetota; Spirochaetia; Treponematales; Treponemataceae. The record is from RNAcentral.
GGGGGUGCACCGGUUUCGAUUGGUACGAUUCGGGGCAUAGACUGCAAGUGGAGCGCCGAUCUCCUGAUUCGGCAAAAAUUUAACUGCCAACAACACUCGUGUUGCUCACGACAGUUUCGAUUACGCGCUUGCCGCGUAAUCGACGCGGACCCGUUUCUACGCCUUGAGGGGCGGGCAUCCGUGUAGCAAACAGGGCUAGGCGGUUCCUGUAUCCGGAUGUGGACACGCCGAAGUUGACCGGAAUACGGAAGGGACGUGCGGCGCGUAGCCAAGCCCUUCCCGACAAUCCGAUAUGCGCCUAAACUUGUAGACGUUUAUGUUUCACGUAUCAGGACGCGGGUUCGACUCCCGCCACCUCCAUUC